RNAcentral lists this ribosomal RNA (87 nucleotides) under Clostridium sp. RNAcentral describes it as "partial 16S ribosomal RNA". It matches the Rfam family "Bacterial small subunit ribosomal RNA", at positions 1 to 87 of the family's 1533-position model. The record is from RNAcentral. Lineage: Bacteria; Bacillati; Bacillota; Clostridia; Eubacteriales; Clostridiaceae.
UUUAUUGAGAGUUUGAUCCUGGCUCAGGACGAACGCUGGCGGCGUGCCUAACACAUGCAAGUCGAGCGAUGAAGUUCCUUCGGGAAC